RNAcentral lists this long non-coding RNA (20021 nucleotides) under Vitis vinifera (wine grape). Its description in RNAcentral is "long non-coding RNA (VVIN_LNC003019)". The record is from RNAcentral. Lineage: Eukaryota; Viridiplantae; Streptophyta; Magnoliopsida; Vitales; Vitaceae.
GGAGACUUUGAAAAUUCGACUAAAUUUGGUUACAUUGUAUUUAAUUUUCCAUUCCUUUGAUUGGGUUCCCAUUGUUUUAUGUCAUUUUAAGACUAUUGCAUGCUAGGCAACCUUUGGGUGGAAUAUAUGACAAAGAAGGUCUUGUGUUGUGAUGUCCCACAUCGGAUAGAGGAGAAUGUUUCUGACGCUAUAUAUGUAGAGGCUCCUCUUAACCAAGUAGAUGCGUUUUAAAACCGUGAGAACUUAUUUGGGUCCAAAACGGUUGAGAGCGGGUCAUUACAUGUGUCUUGCAAAUGGCCAAAAAAAUAUUUUUUAUUUUUUAUUUUUAUUAUUUAUUUUUUAAAAUCAAACAUCCCCAUUCUCUCUAUAUGUUCAAUUACAACACUCUUGAAAGACAACUCAAAACAUCCCAUAUAAAAUAUCACCAAACAAAUAGCAUUUGGAAAAGUGGUUUCCACUUUUCCCAAAUCCACUCCAAGACAACAAGCCUUAUUACAAACACCCACUUCAAAUUUUCCAAGUCUUCAACUACAUAUUUCUAUGAUUUUAUGGGGUUUUAAUGAGGGAAAAACCCUGAAAAAAUCAGCGGGUGACGAUUAGGGAACGGGAGCAGAUGGCGCAGAAGUACUUGGUCUUGGUUUUGCGGGAGACAGGGACACAACACACAUGUAAAUUGCAGUCAAGAUGCGUUGCAACAACAGGGCCUCCACAGCAAGGGCACACAGCCCCGGCUCCUUCUCUUUUGAUCACCUUUUCUCUCAUAUCAAACACUUGGAAUAUACUCAUGUUUCUCCUCCUGCUGCUACUGCUGCUUCUGCUUCUUUGUUUUUCCACCGCUUGGUUUCUGUCUUUUUCUGGGAUUUUCUUGGAUGGUGUUUGGGAUUGUUUCGGGGUUUCAUUUGGUGGGUUUGGCUCCCUUCCCUAUUUAUAGCUCUUUUAGAAGGCAGAAAAGUCGAGGUAAUUCAAUGCGAAUGCCUGCUGCUGUGUUUUUCUGAGAUGGCUCCUGGAAAUCGAGAGGAAAGGGGCGACUGUCAGAUGGGAAAAGGACAAGAUGAAUGUUGUUCAGUUGGAGAAAGUUGGAUUGGACCAGCAUGAAGCCCACUGGGCUUGUUAGGCUGGGCCCAACACUACGAACUUGACGCGGACAAGAUAGUUUUAUUGCGGUGCCGACUAACCUAAUUAAAAUACAUAGAUCUAUAAUUGAAGAUACUCUUUUUUUUUUUUUUAACUUCGAAUUUCUAAACUAUUGAUUUCCGUAAUUGAAAAUAAUCAAUUAGGUUUACGACAAAAACUUAGAAAUCGAUAGACCUCAAUAAAAUCUUAAAAAGAUUAACGAUAAGAAGUGAUGAGUUUAAUAGUUUUUUGUAUAAAAUUAUUGACUCUAGAAUAUAAUAAUAUGAAUAAGACAUGAUUAUGUUCGGCUUUUUUUUUUUUCCAAAAGAAAACAUAAGUUACUUAUGGUAAGAUAUUUAAAUAAUGUUUUACCAUUUUUAUCAAGAGAGCCUAGAAAUGAAAAAUAAUUUAAAAUAAAUUCUUUCCUUUUCUUUAUAAUAUUCAAAUAUAAUAAUUUUUUUCUUUUUUUUUUUGGUACUUUCUAACAUCAAACAUAUUAAGGAAAAUAACUUUCUUGUAUUUGGAUUUCAUUAAAAAAAUUAUUAUUUUUAUUUAGUUGCUUUUGAAAUGGUUAAGGAAACAAUUGAAUUUAAGUAGUCACAAAAUUAUUUCUAAAAUUAUAUACCUUAUAUUCACGUCAAAAUCAUCUUUUUUCUUUUCAGUGUUUAUAUUAAAAUAUCAAAUGAUUUUGCAUUGCAAUUAUUCACAUCAAAAAUAUAAAUUAAUACAUGUUUCUACUAAAAUCUCAUUUUAAAAUGAUAAUUUAUAUACGUAAAAUCAUUUUUCAAAAAAUACGAUAUGAGAAAUAUUGCAUUUUUAUAAACAUUUUAUAAAAUAUUCGUUUCUUAAGAUUAUGUUUGAUUCCUUGGAAAAUAGUAAGAAAAGAAAAAUGAAAUAUUAAAAAAAAUGAUUUUCUUACAUAUGUUUUUACUAUGAAAAAUUCGAAAGAAAAUUAUAUAUAAUUAAAAUUAUUAAAAAUUUUAUAUAUUUUUAAAUAAUUUAAUCAAUAUAUAAAAGAGUUAAAUUAGUAAAAAAAAAUUAAUACAUAAAAAUAAUUUAUUAAUUUUAGAUCUAUUUUUUAUUUUAUUUUAUUUUCUUCCCCUGUAUAUUUUUUUUUUUCAAAAUUUUCUGGAAUAUAACCUAAAAAUGAUAUUAAAAUAAAAAAAUCCUCCACUAUUCCCCUAAUCCGACAAGAUUGAAUGGAAUCAGAGGAAUACAACUACAAAGAUUUUCCAUGGAAUCCGAGGAAUUUUCCAUGGCCGGUCAAUUUUCAUUGCUGUUAAUUUACCUGGAAAUUUGACAGCCAUGAGAAUCCCGUCCGGAGAAAAUAACGUUGUGGGCACGUGUGAAACUUUUGCUUGUCCAAGGUGCCUUGGAAUUAGUCAAGGAAAAAGACAAAUUUCAUCCGCGCCAGGAUAUGAACUUCCUGGAAAUUUUCCCACUUCCAAUCAAAUCAGUUUCCGCGUUGACGGAAAGUGGGUCAAAUGCGUGUCAAUGAAUUUCAUUUGAAAAAUUCGUUCCAGAUCUCAAUCAUUAUUAUAUUUGAAUUGUAUAAAUGAUUUGAAUUGUUUUUUGAAAUUGGAAUUAAAAUAAAAUAAAAAAUAAAAAUUCAUGCUCAAAUCCCAAUCACCCUAAGAUGAGAUCUUGUGACCCGAAAGGAUAACAGAAUUAGGUUACGGAUGACUAAGUUAGCAUUUAGUAAAUCAACUUAAUAACUUAAAGUAAUUUAGUAAUUUAAUAAUUUAAUUUAAAUUAUUAAAUAAAUUAAAUAUAUUUGAUAAAAUAACUUAAUGAUAUAAUUUAAAAUUAAAAAUAAUUUUAAAUAAUAGAUAAAAACAAUUAAUUUAUUCUUAAGUCAAUAUAUUUAGAUUAUCCUUUUACUAUCAUUUACCCUACUUAUUUUUAUGAUCUUUUUUACUACUUCAUAACCUUUACUAUUACUCAAUCUCUUUUAGCAUAAUUAUAAUUUACGAAGAUAAACAUGUCAAUUUUAUUAUUUAUGAUAAGUUUUAAGUUAAUUUUAUUAAACAAGUCGAAUACUUAAAGUAAAAAUUAAGUAAUAAAUUUUAACUUAAUAAUUUAAAUAUAAUUUAACUUAAAAUUAACUUAAGUCAUUAAGUAAUAAAUAUUAAGUUUUACUAAACACCUCCUAAACUUAGAUUGAUCCGUAUUCUUGACUAGACCUUUGAGCUUUAAGUCAAUUGUAUGUGGGAUCUAAGGGGUUAUUUGGAGCUAAAAUAACCGUCAAAUUAUAAAAAUGACCUCUUCUUUUUAAUUAUAUUGAGAAAUAACCCAAAGUGAAAAUACUUUGGGUUAUUUUAUUAUUAUAAAUUUAACAAAAAAAAAAAAAAAAACACUUGUUAAUUAAAAUAUUUAUCUAGACUUUAAUGUUAGAUAUCAAGACUCCAUGAUCUCACCUUCACAUUUUAGAAGUUUAAAUGAAACCAAAACAAAAUCUAAACCAAAAAAAUUUACAAGAACAACCGCAAAACAACCCCAAGCAAAAUCCCACUACAAAAAGCCUUCAAAAUCCCUGUAGAAAACAUUUGCAAAAAAAAAAAACCCUAAUAAAAAAUAAUUGUAAAAAGUCCCAAGUAAAAAAUAUAUAUAUAAUAAAAAAUAAAAAAUAAAAACCCCCGACCAAAAUCCCAUUGCAAAUAAUCCCUCAACCGUAAUCUCGCUAAAAACCUUAACCAAAAACAAUAAAAAAAAAAAAAUAGCUGCAAAAAACCACAAAAACCUUAACCAAAAAUAAAGAGAAAGAUGAAGAAUUUUGAAGAAGAGAAAAAGAUGAGAAAGUUGUGGUUAAUGUUCAUUUGGUUGAUAUUGGUUAUGAUUCCCCUCCAAAAUUCAUUAGAAGAAGGGAGAGGGCAUGAAGAAAACGAGAGGCAAGUGCCAUUUUUAAGGAAAUAAAAAGGAUAAUAAUGUCCAAAAUAGUCAUUUCCUUAAAGAAAAAAUUAAGAGAAAUCAUUCUUCCAAUUUCAAUGUCUUUUCUCCAAAUAUCUCAAAUUUAAAAGAAAUAAUAUAUAAUUAAUUAAUUAUUUUACUUUAAAAUUUUAUUUAAUUGAUUAUUAAAAAUAUCAUAAUAAUCUUCAUAAUAAGUCUUUCUUUUCGUGGAUAUUUUCUAUUCAAAUUAAUUUUUUUAAUUAAUUUUUCUUUCAUGUGUAUUUUCUAUUCAAAUUUUCAAUAUUUCCGUAAAAUUCAACCAUUAGUAUUUUCACAAUUUAUGGUAUUUAAUCAUUAUUACCAUGAAAAUAAGAAAAUAAAAAAUGAGAAAUCUUUUCCUCAAACACAACCACUACAUAAUUCUAAUUAAAGAAAAAAAAAACAAGCAAACAAUUUAUUUACUCUAAAUAUCAAUAGUUAAAACUUAUGGUUAGAAAAGUCUCACUGUCCUCCUCAUGGUCGUAAAAAAAUUGGAAGGAAAAUAUGAAAAAUAAAAAAAGGAAAAUAGGAAAUAAAUUUAUUUUUUAAAUAAUUUAAAAACAUAUAAAUUUUUAACUAAUUUUAAUUAUAUUUAAUUUUUUUUAUUAUAUUUUCUAUAAUGAAAUAAAAAAAUAACACUAUAUUUAAUUCCUAAAAAAAUUGUGAGAAAAUUAAAUAAAAAAUAAAUUUAAAAUUAAUAAAUUAUUUUUAUAUGGUACUUCAAAUAUUUUCACUUCUUUUAACCCUUCAAAAUAAUGAUUAAAUAAUUUAAAAAUAUAUAAAUUUUAAUUAAUUUAAUUAUAUUUCAUUUUCUUUCGUAUUUUUCAUAAUAUAACCAAAUAUGAAAUUUUAUUUUAUUUUAUUUUUUAACAUUUCUUUUCUUAAUACUUUCGAAACUAAACAUAAUAUUAACAUUUUUUUCCUUUAUUAAUAUUUUCAGACAACCAAAUUCAGCAUAAAGCAAUUUCAAAAACUCAGCACAACCAACCAUCAAACGGACACAAGCAUCUCUCCUUAUAGGACCGACUGCAGAAUCUUCCUCUACUAAAUGGUUGGAAGAACCAACUGAGACAAUGAACGAAAAUUCAGUAGUAAGUAGACACAUACUAAUGGUUCCAUUGUUUUUCCCGGAAAAUUAGAUUAUAAUAUAGGAACUGAAAUUCAGUAGGUAAAGUAGAUGCAGACACAUGACCAAAAUAUUUGUCUUUUAUUUUGUGCUAUACUAACCUCCCUCUUUCCUCAGAAUCCCCAAGUUUUCCUAGAAGACUCAUGACCCCAAACAUAAUACCGAGAAAGAUACACAUACAGAACCAAAACCUAAUCCCCAAGUUUUCCAGGAAAAUUUGUUGACCCAAACAUGCUCCUCAGAAUCCCCAAGUUUCUCUAGAAAAUUCAUUGAUCCAAACAUACUGAGAAAGAUACAGAAGGAGCACAAAAACUUAAUCCCCAAGUUUUCUUACAAUCCACUCCAGUCUCUGUUUAUGUAACUGCUUGAUCACCAAGUAAAUCUUCAAAACUUCUCUGAUUUCCACAAUUCUACCAGAAUUUCUUGAAAACCCCUCUAUGAAUAUAGAAUGCAGAAGGAAUUGACUAGAGACAUUGUGGUUUAGUUGAUAUGCAAAAUAGCAUAGUUUAUUGGGAGCAGACAGGAAACUAUAUCAAACUCAGGAAAGCAUAUAUUGAUUGAAGGAUUUUGAGAUCUCAUUAUUAACAUUUCCUGAUACAAUCACAACAAACAUUUUUCAGAUAUAAGAUCAUAGUUGGGCUACUGGCAACACAGAGAAGCACCCGGUCUGUUAAAAUGUUUAGUAAUUCAUCAACUAUAUAAAGAAAAGAAUGGGCAUAAACAAUAGUGCUUACGCGUCAAAAAACUGUGGAUCAUGGAGAUGGUCCUGUCGGAUUGUGGGCCUCAAUAUCUACAUGCCGAAUGCCAGGAACAAGCUCCUGGAUCUCCUUUUCUAGCCUGUCAACUUCACUACCCAGAGCUGUAACCACUUCCUCACCUGCCAUGAGAACUCAAGUGAGUUAUUUUCAUGUUGUUGGUAGACUUCAGUGUAAAUGUUAUUUGUUAGUUUAUUAAAGUGCAUACCAUAGUUUGACAUCAUCCGCAGCAGUGCAGAAUCGUCCUCCUCCUUUGCAGCUUCCCGAAACUGAAUAUCAUUAAUCCUGUUGGUUAGAAACCCAUCCUACAGAGUCCAAACCACACAAACAAUGUCCCUAAUGAUUUUGUACAGGCAGGCCCAACCUGCUGGAGCAAGCCAUCAAGAUGGCCUCCAUUUUGAUCAAAACCCAACAAAAAAUGAGUUGUCCUCCGGAUGUGAUGAACAGAAAGGACCUUUUCAUUUAUUUAUCCUUUUUUUUAGAGCAAGGGAUUAGAACAAAAUUUGUACUUGCAGGGCACAUGCUUCCGAAGCAAUUCCCACAUAAUCCACAGUGAGACUAGAUUCUCUCAUGUAUUUGCAUGGAUAAUUGGUAAUAUAGAUUUCUAUUUAAGAAAUGGGUAAGAUAAAUAUGCAUUCACCCUUCUCAAUCUUAUCCCAACCCAAAUCCCAGAAGCAAAAUAAGAUAGAGAGUAACAGGUCCAUAUUGACUGGAUGACAUUUAUAUACAAGCUUAAAACAAUACAAUUUAGGAGACAUGUAACAUUCAUUUCAGAACAUCUAGGGAUCGCAGGGACUUCUAAUUGUUUGAAAUAUUGCAGAACUAAAAGCACCUACAUGUGUGUGAUGCCAUGUAACCUCAGUUUCCUGACCACCCUUUUCAAGGAAACACUUGUAUUUGUAAAAAACUGACAGCAUUCACCCAUGCAAGAAAAAACGGCCGACAGUACCAAAUUUACUGACUGUUAUAUGAAAAAGAAAUGUGGAAUGUCAAGUACCUUGACAAGGGUACUUACAUGUGACACAAUUGAAAAGCAGUUACAGCUUCCCCAAGAAAAUUUAUAAAAAUAAAAAUAACACCAGUUGGUAAAAACUAACCUGUCUGGCCCAUGUUUCACGUCCUGUCCUUUUCAGAUAAUUUUGCACCACCACCACGCCAUUGAAAUCUGUUGCAUACAACUUGCCACCAUCAACACACUGAGAUCCAAAUAGUGCUAAUUUAAAGUCUAAUUGAGAGUUUAUUCUUAAAUGGUUAGAAGCAUUUUCUAUUGCUUGAACAAUCAUCCAUAGCAAAAUUUGGUAUCAGACAAAGUUGCAGAAAUGACAUUUGAAAAUCUAGAGAAUCACUUCAACCGAUUCUACAAUUAACACAUGGUAGUUGUUUCUACUAAAUAUCUUUUUUUUGUUAUAUAACAUAUUCUCAAAAACAUUAUCAAAAGCAUUUUUGGUUUAUAUCUAAACACUAAUUUGAUUCUCUUUGGAAAACCAAUUGGCUGCUAGUGAGAUAAUGUUAAACCUCUUUCUAUAGUUUGAAUAAUACUAAUCAACCUCAAGUUAGCACAAUUCAGAAGCAAACACCAAAUUCUGAGCCAAUACCAUCUUAGGCUUGGUUCCUAGUCAACCACAAACAACAAGCCAACAUAACCUCAGCUUACUUAUUGAGCUAACACAAAAUCCUAAAGCCAAUACAAUCUUAGGUUUACUUCAUGAGCAGAACACCAAAUCUUGAGCCAAACAAUCUCAACCUUACUUCUUAGGUCAUUAUUUCCUCAGGAGCGGCAAUCUUGGCUCUAGCACCACUUGUUAAGACUAAUGCAUUGGUUUUUUACAUAUGAAAAACCGAUUCAUAGUCAUUAAGGUCAAGCUCAACCUCUUUAUAUGGUUUGAACCACACAACAUUAGCAUCAAGCUAACACAAUCUUGGUACCAACGCCAUUGGAAUCAUAUAAAAAACUUUAGCUUGAUCUCAUUGGUAGUUAAUUGGUCUUCGGCCAGUUUGAACCGCACAACAUUAGCAUCAAGCUAACACAAUUUUGAUACCAACACCUUUGGAAUCAUAUGAAAAAGCUUAGCUUGACCUCAAUGGUAGAUAAUUGAUCUGUGGCUAACACUGCUCGAAACAUAUGAAAAGGUUGAAUUGACAUCAUUUGUAGUCACUUGAUUUUCAGAUAAGGUGGCUAAUAUCUUGAUUCUAACAAUAAGAUGCAUAAUAGUGCAUGGUAAACCAAAGCACAAAAUGAAAAUAUAUCAUCAAUGAUGUAUGCAUAUGGGUGUGGAGAUGUUAGAUAUCCUCAUAGAGAUAUUGACCUAUAGAUAACCAAACCACAUAAAAAUCUGAAAAAUAAGUUACUGUGGCAAAGGUUACCUAUUUCUGCCUUAAACCUAAAGAACCCAGGUCCAAUCACCUCACUUUUACAAUCAUAUAGAGCAUCAACUACCUACAAAAAAAAUAAAUAAAUAGAGUCGUACCCGUCAAACUGGGACAAAUAUGUAUAACAGUAGCUAAUUGGGAUAGAGUUAUUCAGUGUAGAAAACAAUACCGGAUCAUUUUUCAACAAAUUAAGAACCUUUUCCAUAUCAUGAGCAUCAAUUGCUCUACCAAUCAAUGCAUGCCGAUUCCUCUGGAUGAGAAAUAUAGCUACCUGAAUAAAAAGUUCAACUCAAACACAUCACUUUAAACCAUGCUAAUAAGUCAUACGUUUUGUUCUUAUAGAACAUAAAUAACAUAUUCUCAUACUAAUUAACCUUGAUAGAUAUCUAUAGCUCUUUCAAUGUCUCCAAACACUUUGAACACUUCGUAGUUGUAAGUUUUACAAAUAGCCCUUUGAUUAAACCCUGAUCUGAACUUUCGCAGCCAUAUCAACAACUUCCCUCAUCAACUAGAAGUUGGGUCAUGCUACCGAUUCUCCAUCAAUAUACCACUUGUCUCUUUUUCUUUAGGUCUCUAUCCUCCAAAUGCCAGUGGCAAGUUUGUGUUAAGGUAAAACACAAUAAAAGCCAAUGGUACAUUUGGAAAAUGAUACGGCCAUACUUUUGUAAAGGAAUUGAUUACCUUUAGGGUAGUGUAUACAAUUGCAGGCAUUUGCAUCUAUUUCACUUGAUGGGAAUAUUUUAGUGCUAUAUAAAUUUUUAGGUAAGAAAAAAAUGGAAGGUAAAUACUACUUACCAUUCCAAGUAAAUUACCAACCACAAUUGAACCUAUUGGGUCAUAAAUUGGAUUUCCAGUCGUAUUUACAGCAACUAGUGAUGCUCCUGCAAUAAUAAGACCAGUAACUGCAGCACCAUCCUGCUUAUUUAAAGUCAUAUGUUAAGAGAAAGACAACAACAGAACAAGCAAUAAGAUAAAAUGAAUUGCUUAAAGAGCAGAAAACCACUAGCUUGCCAAACUAUAGUAAGCACCAAGCACCCGCAACAAUAAUAUGCAUAAUCAGCAUACAUAUAUUCACACAAUAAAGAAAAGGACAAAAAUUUGACAAAAAAAAAGAAGAAAAAUCGACUAGUCAAAAAGGAGAGUGCCUUGAACUUCUGAGAGUUUUCAAAAGCAGAAAAAGAGGCCAAACAGGUGAUCUUUUGUUCAGAAUCCUGAUGUUAAGAAAAGUUGCCAAAUUACAUGAGCACCACAAACUUCAUGAUAGCACAUUUUCCCAACUUAAGCUGGAAAUGGAUUCUAGAUAAUGAAGUUCCAUGCAUACAACAACUUUCUCAGCACUAGAAUUGUCUUCAAUGCUUCAAGCAUCCUCAAAGGUAACAUCUUGAUCUUGUACAAAUCCAUAGCACAAGAAUAUGAUAAGAGUACAUGAUAAAUGGGUCGAUCCUCAAAUGAUAAUGAGGUAUUGAAUGGUGUAGCUUCUAAUGGGGGUUAUCACAUAUUAGAGGCAGGAACUGGGAACGGAAAAGCAAUCAAUUUUGGGGAAGAUUCUUUUAUAUAAAUGUUAGGAGGAUUUACACAAAUCUUUACCACCAUGGAUAAGUAGGUGGAGUGUGAUGUUAUUUUGAUAUGCCACAAAGUUGACAGAAAUUUCCAAGAUUUGGAGUCAAAAAAGUAGCUCAAAUCCUUUUUCCUGUCCCUAGAUCAAUAUGUAACAUUGCUCCUUCCCCAAGGAGCUACAUUAGAACUUUUCAGUUUCAUCAAAAGUGGCUUUCAUCAGUUUAGUAACUCUUAGAAGAAACAGGUGGUGAUUGGUGGAUAUUUUCUUUACUCCAAAAUGCUAUGUGAGAUAACUCUGAAAUGUUGUGCUUUUUUAGUCUCAAUUGGAGGUGGGCAGUAGGCUAUUAUUUGCUCCUCAAACUGUUGGCUCUCCGUGACUACUUGGUUCACAUUUUAUUUAUGGAUUCAGGCUCUAUUGGGUUAUGCCCAACUAUAUAACAGGUUUUGCUAAUGGGUGUGGCCAUGCAACAUGAAAGAUAACCAUUUCUGCGGUUCUACAAUUGAUGUGGAAGAAAAGAAGUAAAAUAUUAUUAGUAGGAUGAAAGAGAAGCUAAGGAUUGAGCAUCUUGCAUUAUCAUUUGCGGAAGAACCCUAAUUAUUCAUCCUGUAAAGUUCCAAUGAUUCUACAUCCUAUGGUGUCAAGUCCCUUUUUCUGCAAACUAUAUUUAUAAUAUAAAAAAUUAUUAUUAGAAAGAAACAGUUUGUGCUCUUGAACUUGGAAAUCUGAGCAAGAAAGCUAUUACCUUGAUCUCUAGAAAAUUUUUCAUGUUACAUUCACCAUUAGAUACUUAUUAUAGCUUUCCCUGUACUACAAACCAUUUUUAGAAAUGAAAAAGAGAACUUGGAGUCUCACAAGCUUGUGAGCAAGGAGCAUACAUUCCAAAUCCAAGAUCAAAGCUUCACUUGGUAAGGAAUGUUGCAACCAGAUUUAAAUCCUAAUCCUAAGAAGCAUUUUUUUCUUUUUUCCUUUUCCACUGGAGAAAUAAGAGUUACAUAUUUAUGUUAGAAAAAAGGAUGUUAGCAAACAAGGGGAAGCAACUCUAGUACACAGAACUUAUAGAAGACUUAAUCUUAAAGUAAUGCUGUCAUUAUUUCCAACCAUUGAAAGUGAACAAGGCACAGGCAAUUACCUCUGUCAUGACUGCAACAGAUGUAGGAUCAUGACCACGCCAAACAUAAUCUCUCACCUUCAUUCCCUCUGCAGCUGCCCCUUUCUUGACAGCAUGUAUGGCUACUACAAGAGAAGCACCUAAAGAAAAGCCACUGUUAAGGGGAAAGAUGAAGAAAGAUAAACUAAAGAAACUCUUGAAACAACCCUAUAUCACAAAAUAAUUAUGCAAUGAGUUGUACCUUCAAUGAGGAAUGAACCACCAAUAACCAAAGCCGCAUACUGAAUAUUUGCAGGAGGCUGGAAAGGACAUGCUCACAAAUCAAUAAACCAUAUACCAAAGCAACUGGUAAGAAUCUGGAAGGAGAGAACCAGAGAAGUUCUAAGUUACAUGUGAAGUCCACAAAUUUUGUACUCCAUGAACAAUUGUAGCACCAGAACCAAGACAAAAUAUACCAACGGCAGAAAUCAGAGACCAAACGAAUCUUUCCUUCGAAUAGCCAUAACUGAAGAACACAAAAAUAAAAAUUUCAGAUUAUUCAUAUAGUCUAUGAACAAAAGAAACAAGUUGUAAGCCUCAAUAUGAAUAUCCUUCAUGCAUGUGCCUGUCUGUGAAUUUCCCAAUAGAAAAUGCACAGUUCACUGACUGGUGUAUGUAAUUAAGGGUUCAGGUUGUGUCAGACGAAUCCAUUCUUUUGCAUCCAGAGUGGCAAUGUGAUCAUAAUGAAUUCAUUCCAUGAUUCUGUUCUCAACUGAAACACCAUCCAAUUUGAACUAUCAAUUGAAUUCAAGUGCUUCAUAACCAGUCUAGUACUUGGAUCAAAUCAGGUGAUAACUAAUCCCAUUCUGAAUUCAUAGAAGAAAAGUGCACAGAAGUAUUCACUCCAAGGUGAAAAUCCAAGAUUUAUCCAAAUAAUUAUAAUUUUUCUAUUGAAGGUUUCUCAGACAAAAUGAUGAUGAUGAUGAUGAAAUUGCACAGAAGUAUUCAGUCCAAGGCAUAAGUCCAAGAUUUAUCUAAAUAAUAAUAAUUUUUCUAUUCAAGGUUGCUUAGACAAAAUGAUGAUGAAGAAACAUGUACAAGUACUUUAUAUCUAGAUCAUAGUUGUUAACUUGUAAAACAUAUCAUGUAUCAUUUUUCCAUUUUUCUAUAUUGAAUAUUUUAUCAUAUCGUAUAUAUAUAGUGAAAAAUAAAUAGAAUAAAUAUGUAUACAAGUGCAUAUAUAUUGUAAAUAUAAAGUAAAAAGUAAUAUACAACCAAUUUCAUGAAAGAUAGUAGGAUUUAAAGAAUUAAACUAUGUCAUACCAUAUGAAAACAUUGAAUGCUAGAGUUUUAAAAAGUUCAAUUUAACAAAAUAUAAGUUUAAUAUAAAAUUUCAUCACAAAAUCCAUAAAAACAAACUUCUUAGAUUUUUACAUUUAGGUUUUAGUUCCAAAUUCUACCAAGGCAUAAGUACUUAUAUGUGUUGUUGAUAUAAAUGUCUCUUUGUGCCAUCUCCAAAGUUCCAACUUUUCAUGUUCGUCAUUAUCUCUUCCUCGCCUAAAAAAAACCUAAUAAAUUAAGUAAAAAAUUUUUAUUCACUAAUCACCAUCAUUUUCAUUGUCAAUAUCAAAACCAUCGAAAUGGUCCGAUAUUCAUUAUAAGAACAAAUUUAUUUAACUUCCACUUUGGCCUUUGACAACAUGAAUAUAGCUUUCAUGUAGGAUUAUCUUUACUCUUUCUCUUUUUAUGAUCAAUUUCUAACCUUUUUGUAUAUAUUUCCUUUAACAAAAUACUUUUGCUAAAAAUUAUGAAAAAUAGCUAAAAGUGUAUAUAUCAUUUUAUCAAGCAUUGGAUGAUGUAUCGUAUAUGUAUCAUAAGAUACACUUAAAAUAAGAUACGGGUUGCUAAACGCCUCGUAUCAUAUAUCCUAAGUUUUUAACAACUAUGAUCUAGAUAAAGUUUGAUCCAUAUGCUGAAUGGUGAAGUCAAUGUAAAUAUAACAAAGACAAGAACAUCGAUGCCAAAGGUGACCUCUGAAAUGAAAUACUCACGGGUGGAUAGCAUCUGGAGCACGCCUUGAGCUACUCAGACCAUAUGCAAGAAGAGCCUACAUUGUGAAUAUGUAUUAGUUUCUCUGCAUUCAAUAACUACAAAAUCAACACAAAUGUAAACAAGAGUAAAAGAUAAGAAUGUCAGGAAGAUGAACAAUUAGACUAACAGGAGUACCUGAUUUGCAAAAUCUGCGGCUGAGUGCACAACUUCAGCCAACAUAACAUGGCUAGAGGUUGUUAACCAGACCCCAAACUUGAGAGAAAAGACGAGGAAGUUACACCAUAAUGCAGUUCUGACUGCUCGUUGGCUAGAAUAAACAUGUUAGGCAGAAACAAAAGAAAACAAAAAAGGUCAGAUGGUGAAAAGUGGGAGCUAAAUUUCUGGUCCCUAAUUGCAAAAAAGGCUCAAAAUUCUUGAUAGGUUUGGAUUCAGUGCAGUUCAUUAAUAUGCAGCUUGGAUUGACGUCAUCCACAAUCACUCCACAUCCUAAGAAAGUCACCCAUAAAAUCACACUAGAGGAGAGAAUCAAGAAACAAAGGAAUCAAAAGAAUGAAAAGCUUUCUCUUUCAUGACUGCUUGCAUCAACUAGUUAAUUUACUCUUUUCUUGUAUUAAAUCAAAGAUAAUGUUACAGAAGAUUAAGAAUUUCCAAAACCAUAAAUAUACACACUCCUAAAGGUUUUGUAGCCUAUUUCUGUGAACUGGGACAUUCCAACUAACCCCAUUUUCAUUUUCGGGUUGCUAUAAAAUAGUACCCCAAAAUAAAACAUUCCCAUAAAUCUUUCCUUACUUUCCCAAAACCAAAAUACAUGUACUCCGACUCUUAUUUGCAAGUCAACCACACAAAUGCUCACAUGAUCAAUCAACAAACCAACUUACAGCCCCAAAAAUGGCCAGAAAACAACUCAAUUUACCUGUCCUAUAGUAAGCCCUUAACAUGAACUGAAUAGUCCCAAAAAUGCAAUUCAAUUCAAUUCAAUUUGUUUAUCUUAUGGUAAACUAUUAACAUGAAUCAAAUAGGCCCCAGAAACUUAAUAUACUAUAGUAAGCCAUUAAUAUAGCUCAACUAGGACCCGAAAAUUCAAUUCAAUAUAAUUCCACAGUAAGCUAUAAAAUCCAAUCAUGAUUAGAACAAUAGCAAUAAGGAAACAAUGUAGGUCAAUAAAAGGAACCAAUGAAAACUAAUAAUAUCAAUAUCACCUGUGCUGAUCAUUGAUUUCAAUGUUCUUAACUUCCUUGGCUCUAGUAAAAAAAUCUGUAAAGAUCAAAGAAAGCCAACAUCAACCCACAAAAUGGAAAAAGAAUAAAAAUAAAACCACACCAUUCAUCCACCUUCAAAGAAAAAAAAAUACUCACUACGAUUGAUAUAAUGGCGAUUAGAAUCUAAAGAGGUCCCACAACUGCACAGAAAAUUCCGCAAUAUGGGCCUUGGAGCGAAAAAAAGGGCUCCAUUUUCUGGGAAUUUACAGUAAGAGCUGGGUUGUUGAAGGUUGUGGUUGAAGGAUGGAGAGGAAUGUAGGAAUUGGGAGAGAGUGAGGAGGCGAGAGAGGGGGAAAUGGGAGUAGUGGUGGCGCGUGAGGAGAGCUGGAGAUGGGCUAGGCGUGAAUCGAAGAAGGCAAGAGCCUAUCUUCUUGUUGAUGCUUCUCUGCAUGCUCCUUGCUACUCCACCUCCAUGGAAGCCCUCGUUUCAGAGAUUUCAGGGUUUUGAGCUUUUUGGUUUUGUGAGUUGGAAGGGUUUUUGGAGAAAUGGGAGGAGAGGGGUUUCUGGAAUUGGAACAUGCUUUCUGAUGUGUUUUUCCACUUUUGGGUAAAAAUAAAAAUAAUAAAAUAAAUAAAUUUAUUAUUAUUAUUAUUAUUAUAUUAUGACUCUAUAUGUUCAACUCAAAAUUUAUUUUAUGAUACAAUUUAUUUUAUAAAAUUGAAAAUAUUUAUAUUAUAGAUAAAAUAAAUAUUAUAUAAAAAAUUAUUUGAGAAAAAAGGUAAAAAAGAUGGUAUUUAUGUUGAGGAAAAACUUUCCCAAUUUUAAAUUUUAGGUUUUUUCAUAUAAUAAUUAUAGAAAAAUACUUCAUUAUCUAAAAUACUUCAAAGGUUGGCUUCUCUUGCUACUUAUGUUUUUAUUAUUUAAACAAUGAUUUUUCUUCAAAAAAAAAAAAAAAAACCUACUCUUAAACAUUAUUUUAAACAAUAAAUAUUGUAUAUAAAUAAAAUAAAUAUUGCACAAAAAAUAUAAUAUAUAAGAAUAUUAUAGUUAAAAAUAACUAUAGUACUUUUUUUUUUUGGAUAAAUAUGUAUACAACAUAUUCAUUAUACUAAUUGUAUUUUUAUCAUAAUAUUAUAAAUCAAUACCAAUUUUAACUUAGUUUUAUGUUGUUUGGUUGUGAAUGAGAAAUUUGCCGGAAAGAAAAUUAAAUUUAUUAGGCAUGACCUAAAAGCAAAGAAUAAAAUCCAUUUUAUCCCCUCAACCUUUUGUGUCUCUUACACUUUGUCUCACAUUCAAAAUCCAACGCACUUCAAACUUCUUAAUGGGUAGCACUCAACUUUUUUUUUGGAUAAUUUUUAUUUUCAUUAAAUGGAUGUGCUCCACACGUGAUGUGAUAAGAGGGUAAAAAUGUCAUUUAAAAGAUAUCCAUGGCCCUAAAAUCUAUUCCUUCAUUUUUCUUUUUCUGAAACCUUGAAAUCCUCAAGUCUAAAAAAACACACCUCCUUUAAUCGAUCUUCCUAUUAUGCUGAGACAAUGAGUCUAGCACAUUAUAUGUUGGCAAUUUUGUUUCAAUAUAUUUUGGCUCAUGAAAGUUUUUAAAUAGUGACUUACUCAUCAUUGAAGAUUCAAGGUUGUUGUUGGUUAAACCAUAAAGUUACAGGUAAGUUUAAAAAUGUUUAUUUAGUGGCAAGUUAAAUGAUUAAAGGGUUAAAGUGGAUCAAUAUUUUUUUCAUAAGCUAAAAAUACUUGAAUUAAUGUUUUGGAAAAAACAAGAGACACUUGAGCGGUGGAACCAACACUCAAGUGCUUAUCUAACACUCAAGCUCACAAGGCGUUCGAGCGAUGAUUAAGUGCAUUCAAGUGGUUGUCCCAAAUCUGCUAGAAUAUGGUAGAUUUCUUUUUGAAAUUUUAUAAGUAUUAUUUUUUGGAAAUUCUAUAUAUCGAUCCCUUAGGCCUAUAGGCCUAUAUAAACCCUCUAUUAACCCCUUUUAGGGUUAGACACCUUGAAAGAGUUGACCAACUUAACCUAUCAUUCCUAAUCUCUCAAGAAAAAAUUCAUAAUAUUGAAUUUCGGGUUGUUGGAAGAACUUGCAUCCCCUAAGAGGUUGAGAAGAAUCUACUAAAGCAUUAGAGGUGUUAUGUCGCGGAUGUGGAUCAAGGUAUAGGUGCUAGAGAAUAAGUUUUUAAGGUAAAAUGGUCAAGUAAAUCUGUGUACUUUGACCUGAAAUAGUGGAUUGUAUAUUAAAGGUCUUAGACCUCAUGGUUUUUAUUUCCACAGUUAGUGUUAGGUUUUUCCACAUAAAAAAUUAUUAUGUCUCUUGUUUGAUAUUUGAUUACUUUGAUUAUCCCUAAUAUCUUCAAGUUUUAUUUUGGGAUAAUUUUUCAUCACUUAUAUUGUAUUAUUUAAAAACACCUAUUCCCUCAUCUCCUCUCUCAGGUGUUAUCCUAAUAGACAAAAGGUUUUUUCAAUUGGUAUUAGAGCAAGCUUUUCUAAAUAAAAAUCAUAUUUUUAUUGAUCUUGCAAGUCCAAUAUGGAACAAUCAAGGUCUGAAGCUCCCCUAAAUAGUCCACCCUAUUUCGAUGGGAGUAAUUAUCCCAACUAAAAGGCCCAAAUGAUUUUUUGAAAAUGCAAGGAGAAAAGGUCUACAAUGCAACGAAAUAUGGAUGAAGACUUCAUUGAAACUAUAUGUGAAUGGGAAAUCUACUGAUGAAUUAAAACCCAAAAAAGAAUGGCAUAAAUUAGAUAAUGAAGAAAGUGAUGCCAAUGCUCGGGUUCUCUUUAGCAUAUUCAAUAGGGUAAGUCCUAAUGAGUUUUGCAAGAUAGCCACUUGUAAAGAUGCUAAAAAAGCCUAGGACAUUCUCCAGGUUACUCAUGAAGGCACUUUAGUUGUGAGGUUGGCUAAAUUGCAAAUGUUAACCUUCAGGUUUGAAAGCAUUAAAACGCAAGAGAAUAAAACUUUCUUUGCAUUCUAUGCUGAAUUAAGUGACAUUUUGAACUUCUUUUUUUAACUUAAGAGAACAAAUCCCUGACUUUAAAGUAAGUAGAAAAAUCUUGAGAUCUCUUCUUGAAAGGUUUAAACCUAAGGUCAUCACAAUAGAGGAAAACAAGGAUAUUUACUCCAUGAGGGUUGAUGACCUUGUUGGUUUUUUUCAAAUCUAUGAAAUGACCUUUCUAAACUCUCACAAGCCUAAAGAGUCUACUUUUAAGGAUAAUGAAAUUGAAGAAAAAGAGUUUGAAAAUCAUAAUGAGAUAACUAGGGAUGAACUAGCGUUCAAGGCUAAAUGAUUACUACUCAAAAAGUGCUAUUUCAUAGCUUGUAAUUAACUCUUUUAAACACUUUUAAGUAGUAGUUAUUAUCUUUUAACCCAAUUAACAUAUUAAGGACCCUUGCAAUCAAUUCUAAUCAAAUUGUGUUAAGUUUUGGUGUUUUGAUAACUUUUUGAUCACCAAAGCAAUCCGAGAUUGAGGAGAGUUCUUUGGAAUCCAUAAGUAAAUCCAGAAUACAAGGAGUAUGGGAUCCUGCUCAUUCCACCCGGACGAGAAUCAUAGCUCAUUCCACCCGGGUAGGAAUUCCAUCCGGCUGCCGCUAUUACAUCCGGCUGCUGCCACUUUCCACCCCGGAUGUAUCACAUCCGAAAUUCUGCUGCCGCCGCCAUUCCACCCGGAUGUAUCACAUCCGGAAUUCUGCUGCGUCGUCAUUCCACCUGAAUGUUUCACAUCCGGAAUUUUGAUGCCGGAUGGGAGAGGAGAGCGUUUCAACUUCCCCGGUCACACAUAUCUGGAUCAUCUGAUAGCGCUUACCCGGAGAGUUUCGCAGAUAUUUUGCACAGUGUCGCGGUGUUCUCUUGAAGCUUCCAGAUAUUUGCGACUGACAUUUGAAGAUAUUUUGCUUUAGAUAUUUGAUGUCGAAAUCCCCAAACUCUCCUUGUAACCCACCAAUUAUAGGAUUCCUUAGUUAUUAAGUUUGGAAAAAUGGUGAAUAACCCCUUAUAUAUAGCUUUGUAAUUUCCUUUACAGAGAGAGAUCGAUCAUAUAUCGAUCAUAGAUGUAAUCUGGGAGCUUGUUCUUAGAGACGCAUCCUUUGUACAGUUUUGUAAGGAAGUAAAAUACAAAGCACUUGCUCUGCUUUUCAUAUUUUUGUUUUCUUGUUAUUUUACUUUCUAGCCAAUCAAACUCUGAAGAUUUUUCCUCAGAGGAUGAGAGGCUAGGCUCUUCGUCUCUUGGAGUGAAGAAAGCUGGGUAAAUUUCCACAUGCAUAAAUUGGAAGUUUUGUUGUUUUAGUUUUUAAUGAAGAGAAAGUGUGACCCGUUAAUGGUUUUUAUCUUUUUAGUUAACUUAAAACGCCUUUAAUUCACCUGGGCCAACACUUGAUAAGGCAAGUGGUCUCCAUCCAUUGAGAUACACUAGUUUAUCUCUUGCGAGCCUUUGGGAGGUGGUUUGAAGGUAGGAUUUUCUAGAAUAACCAACACUUGGUAAGCUUUUGGACUCUAAGGAGACAUCCAUUAGUUAUCUCUUGCGAGCUUUUGACGGAUAAUCCAAGGUUAAAGAUCACCUUGAAUGGCAAGUGCUAGGUGAGAGGUAUGAGCCAUUGCAAGAUGCAUCAGUGAGAUGGAUUUAGUGUUUGAACCCAUUAAAGGGAAGCAUCUGUACCACACCGGUUCGGGAAAUAACUAUAUGUUAAAUCCCCAAUGCGAGGAAAAUAAACAAGUGACCGGAACUCUCCUUUUUGUACAAGGAAUCUGAGCCCAGUGAUCUAAACUCCAAGAAAUACUUUUCUUUGUAAGUAAAAUCAGUUACUAUUUUUGGUUAGUUUAAAACCAAACCUUUUCCGCCAAAGAUUAUGUUUUCUUUUAAAGCUAACCUUGAAAUGAAAAGACACCAAUUCAGCUUUGAAUUAAUAUCAAUUGUGAAGUGAAAACCCAUCCCAGUGAACGAUCCUAGAGCCACUAUGCUAUAGUAGCUUUGUCUUUGCUACCCUAGUUCAUGGUGUAAUAAGUUAUAAAUUUUGUUGAUUACUCCCGCAAUCAAGGAGCACCAGCUGGACAUGAAUCAGUUGAGACACCAAGUGGGCACGAAUCAAAUGGCGCUGUUGCCGGGAACGAAUCAAAUGGCGUCGUUGUCGAGCCUUGUGAUUAGAAUUGGGAACGAAUCACUAAACGUAUUAAAUGGGUUUGAAACUUAACAAUAGACCUAAUAAGAACAAGGACUUGGGAAAGGAAAAAAGAUUUGGUAGGUCUUCUAAAGAAAAAGAUAAGGAAAUUGCAAAAGAGAAAAAAGGUAAAGUGUUUUAAUUAUGGAGGUUUGGAACAUUUUUCUAUUGACUAUGUCCUAGUCUCAAUGACAUUAAAAAAAAUUGUGCAAGCUACAUGGAGCGACACUUACUUUGGUGAGAGUGACUCUAUGACUUUUGAAGAUGCAAGGUAUGAGCAAAAUGAUUAUUUAAAUUUUAUUGCAUCUGUUGAUUCUAAGCAUGAUACUAAUAGUCAUGAGAGUGAGUAUACUAAUGAAUAGAAUGCUAGUUUUCUUAGAAAUAUUUCCAUUGAAUAUCAAAAACUGAUUGAACAAUAUUUGAAGACUCAUAAUAUUCUUAACUCAUAAAAAGCUAAAAUUGAAUAUUUUUAGUGAAAAAAGACUAAUUAUCUUGCGAAAAUUUGAUUCAUUGAGUUUGAAUAUCAUUCUCUUCUUGAGAAAAACAAUAUUCUAACUUAAAAAAUUGAGACUAAAAAACCAUCAAUAAGGCUUUUCACCUUGGGACUAGUGUUGGAUGAAAUUCUUGAGAAAUGCAAGUCCCAAGGAGAUAAGAAAGGCCUCGACUAUAUUAGCAAAACCAAGAC